GAAUGUAGCUUGGUGGUAGGGUGCUUGCCUAAUAUGCAUGAGGCCCUAGGUUCAAUCCCCAACACA
RNAcentral lists this transfer RNA (66 nucleotides) under Marmota monax (woodchuck). Its description in RNAcentral is "tRNA.Ile". The record is from RNAcentral. Lineage: Eukaryota; Metazoa; Chordata; Mammalia; Rodentia; Sciuridae.